GGCUAGAGUUUGAUCAUGGCUCAGGACGAACGCUGGCGGCGCGCCUAACACAUGCAAGUCGAACGGGGUUGAGAGGAGCUUGCUUUUCUUGACUUAGUGGCGAACGGGUGAGUAACGCGUGAGGAACCUGCCUCAAAGAGGGGGACAACAGUUGGAAACGACUGCUAAUACCGCAUAAGCCCACAGUCUCGCAUGAGACAGAGGGAAAAGGAGCAAUCCGCUUUGAGAUGGCCUCGCGUCCGAUUAGCUAGUUGGUGAGGUAACGGCCCACCAAGGCGACGAUCGGUAGCCGGACUGAGAGGUUGAACGGCCACAUGGGGACUGAGACACGGCCCAGACUCCUACGGGAGGCAGCAGUGGGGAAUAUUGCACAAUGGGGGAAACCCUGAUGCAGCGACGCCGCGUGGAGGAAGAAGGUCUUCGGAUUGUAAACUCCUGUUGUUGGGGAAAAAGAGGAUGGUACCCAACAAGGAAGUGACGGCUAACUACGUGCCAGCAGCCGCGGUAAAACGUAGGUCACAAGCGUUGUCCGGAAUUACUGGGUGUAAAGGGAGCGCAGGCGGGUAUGCAAGUUGGGAGUGAAAUACAUGGGCUCAACCCAUGAACUGCUCUCAAAACUGUGUAUCUUGAGUAGUGCAGAGGUAGGCG
RNAcentral lists this ribosomal RNA (648 nucleotides) under uncultured bacterium. RNAcentral describes it as "bacterial SSU rRNA". It matches the Rfam family "Bacterial small subunit ribosomal RNA", at positions 1 to 663 of the family's 1533-position model. The record is from RNAcentral.